RNAcentral lists this ribosomal RNA (689 nucleotides) under uncultured Actinobacteridae bacterium. Its description in RNAcentral is "bacterial SSU rRNA". It matches the Rfam family "Bacterial small subunit ribosomal RNA", at positions 95 to 798 of the family's 1533-position model. The record is from RNAcentral. Lineage: Bacteria; Bacillati; Actinomycetota; Actinomycetes.
AUGACGAACGGGUGAGUAACACGUGAGUAACCUGCCCUUGACUCUGGGAUAAGCGUUGGAAACGACGUCUAAUACCGGAUACAAGCUGGGACCGCAUGGUCACCAGCUGGAAAGAACUUCGGUCAAGGAUGGACUCGCGGCCUAUCAGCUAGUUGGUGAGGUAACGGCUCACCAAGGCGACGACGGGUAGCCGGCCUGAGAGGGUGACCGGCCACACUGGGACUGAGACACGGCCCAGACUCCUACGGGAGGCAGCAGUGGGGAAUAUUGCACAAUGGGCGCAAGCCUGAUGCAGCAACGCCGCGUGAGGGACGACGGCCUUCGGGUUGUAAACCUCUUUUAGCAGGGAAGAAGCGAAAGUGACGGUACCUGCAGAAAAAGCACCGGCUAACUACGUGCCAGCAGCCGCGGUAAUACGUAGGGUGCAAGCGUUGUCCGGAAUUAUUGGGCGUAAAGAGCUCGUAGGCGGUCUGUCGCGUCUGCUGUGAAAACCCGAGGCUCAACCUCGGGCCUGCAGUGGGUACGGGCAGACUAGAGUGCGGUAGGGGAGAUUGGAAUUCCUGGUGUAGCGGUGGAAUGCGCAGAUAUCAGGAGGAACACCGAUGGCGAAGGCAGAUCUCUGGGCCGUAACUGACGCUGAGGAGCGAAAGCGUGGGGAGCGAACAGGAUUAGAUACCCUGGUAGUCCAC